This is an RNA transcript of Pseudomyrmex gracilis, 4020 nucleotides long. It is a transcript of the gene named fatty acyl-CoA reductase 1-like, with no coding region annotated. Lineage: Eukaryota; Metazoa; Arthropoda; Insecta; Hymenoptera; Formicidae. The transcript has 9 exons. The record is from RefSeq and is a predicted model, not a curated record.
UGAAGAAACACCAAGUGCUGUGGUGUUUUGUUCUUUCAUACCGUAGAUAAAAAAUUAACUUUGUUGACAUUAAAAGUGCAAAGGUUUUAAUUGAUAAUAAUAUUUUAUAUUUUUUAUUAUUUUAUUAUUCCAACGCAAAACACUUGAUAUUUCGUUGUGUCUAUUUUAAAACCGUGUUGAAUAUUUGAGUUACUAUGACUGGAGACGCUGAUACAUUUAUACCUACCUUUUACUCCCAUCGAAGUGUGUUUAUUACUGGUGGCACAGGUUUCCUGGGUAAAGCGUUAUGUGAAAAAUUACUGAGAUCUUGUCCGGAUAUUGAAGAAAUAUUUUUAUUGAUACGACCGAAAAAAGGAUUGACCAUCACCGACAGAGUUAAGAAAAUGUUGAAUAACAAGCUUUUUGAUUUAUUACGGCGCGAACGGCCAUCCAGUUUCGAGAAAAUCAUUCCUAUAAGUGGAAACGUGAGUGCUAAAGAUUUAGGAUUAUUGCCAGAGGACAGGAAAAUGUUAAGUGAAAAAGUCUCGAUAAUAUUCCACGUAGCGGCUUCUGUCCGCUUUGACGAGAGUCUUAAAGAUGCGAUUUUCACAAACUUACGGUCAACGCAUGACGUUUGUCUUUUGGCCCAAUCUAUGAAAAAUAUAGUGGCUCUGCUUCAUGUGAGCUCGACGUACACACAAAGCGAUAAACCCAUCGUGGACGAGGUCUUGUAUCCUUUGGAGAAUGUUGACUGGAGAAAAACGAUCAAAAUCGCUGAGACCAUUGACGAUGAGAUUUUAAAGAUUUUUACAGCGAAAUAUAUUGGAACAAUGGCAAAUACUUAUGUUUUUACGAAAAGACUAGCCGAGCAAGUGAUAAAUGACUUUUCCGAGUCACUGCCUUGUAUUAUCCUUAGACCAUCUAUUGUCGUACCAUCAGUCAAUGAUCCUGUGCCAGGCUGGAUUGACAAUUUUAACGGACCCAUGGGCUUGCUUACUGCUGGUGGAGCCGGAGUUUUACGUGUGGUUCACUUGGAUUCUAAUGUACUUUCCGAUUUUAUUCCGGUAGAUAUAGUGAUUAAAGCAAUGAUUAUCGCAGCUUGGAAACGCGGAAUGAAAAACAUCUCCGAGAAUAAUAAUCUUCACAUUUACAAUUGCUCUGUAAACACCAUGAAUACCAUAAGUAUCGGAAAGUUAAUACGCGCAGGAUUUCGUGCCGUAUAUGAUAUUCCUUUUGAGCGAACAAUUUGGAAACCACAGACGAUUAUGACAAAUAGUGGAUUGUUAUAUUACAUAUUGGUAUUAGUUUUACAUAUUGUUCCGGCAUUAUUAAUAGAUGCUGUGUUGAAAAUAUUACGUUUACGUCCGAUGUUACUGAAGUUGCAACGAAGAAUAUAUAUGUCAAACCGUGCAUUGUCCUUUUUUGCAACUCAUUUCUGGCAGUUUACUAACACAAAUUUAAUAAACAUCUUCGAGAAUCUGAGCGCUGCUAAUGAAAAAGAUUUUGGAUAUAAAAAUAGUGUAAAUUGUGGCACAGAAGAAUAUAUCAGACAUGGCAUUAUUGGUUCUAAACUCUACUUGCUCAAUGAAGAUAUGAGUCGCUUAGAACAACUCAAACGUUAUCGUAAAAAAUUGGACUGGCUUCAUGAAAGUAUCAAACUGUUGUUUGUGAUUAUGCUAUGCUACAUCUUAUAUUCACGUUUAUGAUUGCACAAUAGGUAAAUUAGUGUAUAAAUCAAGAAAGUAAGUUUUGUUUAUUUUUUGAGAUAGGUGAAAGUUAUUUGAUAAAAGUGAAUGUUUAAAUUAGUUUGUAAUACUGGGCAAAUAUAUUGUAAGAAUCACGUAAAUCUGUGAGUAUAAAACUUCGAAAUAAGUUUCGCUGGUUAAAACAAUACAAGAAUGAUACGAUAUAACAUAAGUGUAUACUUUACAGAAUGUUUCACUGACUUGUAUUUCUUCAAUUACCAACAUCAAAAAAACAUUCGGUUAAUAUCACUUUAACUAGUGUAUUUUGAACAUUAGAUAUCUACAUGAAUACAUACUGCAAUAUACAAGGUAUUAAUCGCUCUCUUAAAGAUUUAAGAUUUUUUUUUAUUGCAUAAUCGCGAUACUAUUUCUCAGUAGCAAUGGUUGAUUAUGUGAACGGCAUCGAUAACAAACUUCGGAGCGAGGAAACGUAAGCAGAUAAAUAUAUGAAAAAACUAUGUGUGGGAGUGUAUAUGUUAUUCUGUUGCUCAGAAGAGAAUCUUUCUUUUGUGAUUUCGGACAUAUUUUUUCUAUAAUUUAACUAGGAAAACGAGAUUGCAACUUGCUUAUCUUUCAAAGUUUUUUUAUUGUAGUGGAAUCCGAUUGUAGAAAAACGUUUUGUGUAAUCGGUCAUUCGUGCGCGAUUUUCAAGAAAUUUUGUUUUUGCGCGUUUACCGGUAUCACGAUAUUAUACAUCAAACGUUCUGAAUAUUGAAUAUAUUAUGAGUUAAAAUCACACACACACACACACACAUGCACAUAAAUAAAUGUUAAAUACAAUAUGUAAGUGUAAAGUAGACUGCUUUUCGAACUUUUAGAAUAUUGCGUAUCAUGAAAGAAAUUCUUCAUUAUUUUCUGUAAACGACUUCAUUAUUUCCUAUAAAUAAGCCGAUUAUUCAGUUAGACUCAUUUACGUACAAAUACUUUGACAGAAAAGGACGCGAAUAGGUUAGAUCACAUCAACAUUUGUAAGUUGCUGACUAUCCACCUAUUUGAAACUUCUUAGUAUCUAUCACAUACUACUUUAUAAACGUUAUAAAUAUUUUAGUUAAUAUGAGUAAAUGUAUGGUUUCCUGGGUAAAGCGUUAUGUGAAACAUUACUGAGAAGUUGUCUGGAUAUUAAAAAAAUAUUCUUACUGAUACGACCGAAAAAAGGAGUAACUAUCAACGACAGGUUAAAGGAAAUGUUGAAAAACAAGCUUUUUGAUUUAUUACGGCGCGAACGGCCAUCCAGUUUCGAUAAAAUUCCUAUAAGUGGGAACGUGAGUACUAAAGAUUUAGGAUUAUUGCCAGAAGACAAAAAAAUGUUAAGUAAAAAAGUCCCGAUAAUAUUCCACGUAGUGGCUUCUGUCCGCUUUGACGAAAGUCUUAAAGAUGCGAUUUUCACAAACUUGCGAUCAACGCGCGUGACGCUUGUAUUGUGGCUCAAUCUAUGAAACAUAGUGAUGAGUGUUUUUUAUCGAUUUAUAUUGUUUCGCAAGUAUAUUUUUCUCAAUAACUUUGUGUGCUGGACAACAUUCUAAUUCUAACCGUUAUAUUUAAUUUACAUAAUCGAAAUAGGCUUUAGUUUACGUAAGCUCGGCAGUUACACAGUGUGAUAAACUCGUCGUAGACGCGGUUUUUUAUCCUUUGGAAAAUGUCGCGUGGAAAAAGACGAUCCACAUUGCUGAGAAUACUGACAACGAAAUUUUAAAAGUUUUUACCGCGAAUAAAAUAUGUUCUUGUUACUUAAUUGUUGCAGAUAUAUACAUCCCAUGACCAGUACGUACGUCAUUACAAAACGCCUAGCAAAAAAUGUUAUAAAGGAUGUUUCUGAAUCGUUGCCUUGCGUUUUUAUUAGACUUUCAAUUGUAGUACCUUCACUUAGCGAUCCGAUUACGCUAUCCUUUGUAAUUAGGUCGCAUUUCACAGCGUGGAGCUUUCACGAGGAAUCUUUUAAAAUAUCAGCGAUUUCUCUUAUUCUCUUCGCUCUUCUCGCAAAGCCAUUAACGUACCUGAUGAAAUGUGUACAAAACCGAUUAGUAUUACUUCGUAGAAUAAACCCAUUGUAUCAGAAAUCAUCUCGACUGGACUCGAACUUGGAAUCUGGAACUCUUUGAUUACCGGCGGACACUCUAACAAUUCAGCCAUUGAAGCUUUCAAAAUCAUUUACUGAUAUUAGUACUGAUUCUAAGUAAAUCAAUGUGUUCCUAAGUAAAUCAGCGAAAUUUUAACUGAAGUAAAACUAAUUUAUUGUAUUACUGACACCUAACUCUUUAAUAGAGUUCAGUUUGGCCAAUAUUUAAUCGCUUUUCUG